UCAAUGGCACACUCCUUAAAUGCAUGAUUAAGCUUUUCUGCAAGGGACUCUUGACACUCAUUUUCCUCAAUCAUAUCAUCAUCAUAUUCAUCCUCGGUAUUGGAACCAUACUCUUGAAGUUCAAGCUGAAAAGGUGAGACGCAAGACAGUGAUAAGACAAUUAAACAAUAUCAGAGAACAAGCAGACAUUAUCUUUAAUAGGCAGACAUAAUAUCAACUCACUAGUAAAUUAAAAACUUACAAGAGACUUAAGGACCCUCAAGACUUUUGUUAAAUUUACAAGGAGGCCUACGCCAAGA
RNAcentral lists this long non-coding RNA (299 nucleotides) under Nicotiana benthamiana. Its description in RNAcentral is "long non-coding RNA (NBEN_LNC001735)". The record is from RNAcentral. Lineage: Eukaryota; Viridiplantae; Streptophyta; Magnoliopsida; Solanales; Solanaceae.